Molecule: ribosomal RNA, 283 nt
Filed under: uncultured bacterium
Lineage: Bacteria
Description: partial 16S ribosomal RNA
Rfam family: Bacterial small subunit ribosomal RNA
Source: RNAcentral
UACCUACGGGGCGCAGCAGUGGGGGAUAUUGCACAAUGGGGGGAACCCUGAUGCAGCGACGCCGCGUGGGUGAAGGAGCGUUUCGGCGCGUAAAGCCCUAUCGGCAGGGAAGAAGGAGGACGGUACCUGACUAAGAAGCCCCGGCUAACUACGUGCCAGCAGCCGCGGUAAUACGUAGGGGGCAAGCGUUAUCCGGAUUUACUGGGUGUAAAGGGGGCGCAGGCGGUCCUGCACGUCUGGAGUGAAACGCAUGAGCUCCACUCAUGCAUGGCUUUGGAAACUG